CCUACGGGAGGCAGCAGUGAGGAAUAUUGGUCAAUGGACGAGAGUCUGAACCAGCCAAGUAGCGUGAAGGAUGACUGCCCUAUGGGUUGUAAACUUCUUUUAUAUGGGAAUAAAAUGUUCCACGUGUGGGAUUUUGUAUGUACCAUAUGAAUAAGGAUCGGCUAACUCCGUGCCAGCAGCCGCGGUAAUACGGAGGAUCCGAGCGUUAUCCGGAUUUAUUGGGUUUAAAGGGAGCGUAGGUGGAUUGUUAAGUCAGUUGUGAAAGUUUGCGGCUCAACCGUAAAAUUGCAGUUGAAACUGGCAGUCUUGAGUACAGUAGAGGUGGGCGGAAUUCGUGGUGUAGCGGUGAAAUGCUUAGAUAUCACGAAGAACUCCGAUUGCGAAGGCAGCUCACUGGACUGCAACUGACGCUGAGGAGCGAAAGCGUGGGUAGCAAACAGGAUUAGAUACCCCUGUAGUC
This 460-nucleotide ribosomal RNA is filed under the name uncultured bacterium. Its description in RNAcentral is "partial 16S ribosomal RNA". It matches the Rfam family "Bacterial small subunit ribosomal RNA", at positions 338 to 795 of the family's 1533-position model. The record is from RNAcentral.